This 73-nucleotide transfer RNA is filed under the name Bos taurus (domestic cattle). It matches the Rfam family "tRNA". From Rfam's summary of the family: Transfer RNA (tRNA) molecules are approximately 80 nucleotides in length. Lineage: Eukaryota; Metazoa; Chordata; Mammalia; Artiodactyla; Bovidae. The record is from Rfam by way of RNAcentral. RNAcentral also lists the same sequence under 1 other name.
UUCCUGGAGGUCCAGUGGUUAGAACUUGGUGCUUUCAAUGCCGUGGCCCCAGGUUCAAGCCCUGGUGAGGAAA